This 643-nucleotide ribosomal RNA is filed under the name uncultured eukaryote. RNAcentral's name for it is "bacterial SSU rRNA". It matches the Rfam family "Eukaryotic small subunit ribosomal RNA", at positions 613 to 1218 of the family's 1831-position model. The record is from RNAcentral.
UUGCAGUUAAAAAGCUCGUAGUUGGAUUUCUGUUUUAAAUGUCCGGUCGGUCAGUUUCUGAUGUGUACUUUGGAUAUUUGAAGCAUUUUUUGUGAGGGUCCUUGACUGGCAUUAAGUUGUUGGUUUCGGAAGCUUGCAUCGUUUACUGGGAAAAAAUUAGAGUGUUACAAGCAGGCGUUUGCUUUUGAAUACAUUAGCAUGGAAUAAUAAGAUACGACUAGCGUGGUCUAUUCUGUUGGUUUGCACACGCAAGUAAUGAUUAAUAGGGACAGUUGGGGGUAUUUCAUAUUUGAGCGUCAGAAGGUGNAAAUUUCUUUGGGNAUCACUGAAAGAUGAGCUUAGGCGAAAGCAUUUAUCAUGGAUGUUUUUCAUUUAAUUCAAAGAAACCGAAAGGGGUUAAGGGGGAAAUCGAAAGAAAUGAAAUUAAGAAUACCCAUUCGUUAGUUCCUUAACCCAUAAAACUAUGCCGACUCGGGAUUGGCAGUCGUUAUUAAUGACCUUGUCAGCACCGUAUGAGAAAUCAAAGUCUUUGGGUUCCGGGGGNAGUAUGAUCGCAAGGUUGAAACUUAAAGGAAUUGACGGAAGGGCACCACCAGGAGUGGAGCCUGCGGCUUAAUUUGACUCAACACGGGGAAAAACUUAC